Molecule: ribosomal RNA, 301 nt
Filed under: uncultured bacterium
Lineage: Bacteria
Description: partial 16S ribosomal RNA
Rfam family: Bacterial small subunit ribosomal RNA
Source: RNAcentral
CAGUCGCCACGGUAAUACGGAGGGUGCAAGCGUUAUCCGGAUUUACUGGGUUUAAAGGGUGCGCAGGCGGAUAUGUAAGUCAGUGGUGAAAUCUCUAGGCUUAACCUGGAAAUUGCCGUUGAUACUAUAUAUCUUGAAUGCUGUGGAGGUAAGCGGAAUAUGUCAUGUAGCGGUGAAAUGCUUAGAUAUGACAUAGAACACCUAUUGCGAAGGCAGCUUACUACGCAGAUAUUGACGCUCAUGCACGAAAGCGUGGGGAUCAAACAGGAUUAGAUACCCCUGUAGUCCCUGUCUCUUAUAC